GCGCGGUGGCUCAUGCCUGUAAUCCCAGCACUUUGGGAGGCCGAGGUGGGUGGAUCACGAGGUCACGAGAUCGAGACCAGCCUGAUCAACAUGGUGAAACCCCGUCUCUACUAAAAAUAGAAAAAUUAGCUGGGCGUGGUGGCACAUGCCUGUAAUCCCAGCCACUCGGAAGGCUGAGGCAGGAGAAUUGCUUGAACCUGGGAAGCGGAGGUUGCAGUGAGCCGAGAUCGCGCCACUGCACUCCAGCCUGGUGACGGAGCGAGACUCCAUCUCAAAAAAAAAAAAAA
RNAcentral lists this long non-coding RNA (287 nucleotides) under Homo sapiens (human). Its description in RNAcentral is "HSALNT0401564". The record is from RNAcentral. Lineage: Eukaryota; Metazoa; Chordata; Mammalia; Primates; Hominidae.